Long non-coding RNA from Micropterus salmoides (largemouth bass), 1741 nucleotides. RefSeq lists it as uncharacterized. The transcript is spliced from 3 exons. Lineage: Eukaryota; Metazoa; Chordata; Actinopteri; Centrarchiformes; Centrarchidae. The record is from RefSeq and is a predicted model, not a curated record.
CACAGCCUAACAUGUCCGUGUGAAGUGCGCUGAUAACUACUUUCAUUAAAAGUUGAUCACUUAUUUCUGGUGAAAAGAAGGCUACUUACAAUUUGGACUCAAAUCAAUUUAUUAACAUCUUACUAUCACUUUCAAUUGAAGAUUUGAUGAUUACAACCUUUUGUUAAUGACUUUAUUAAUGUUAAUGGCAUUGUUACUAGAUUACCAACAUGUUUAACUGCUUUAUUACCCAGGUGUAUGGGUAUACACCUGCCAAAGGGAUUUUCACAGCCAACCGACUCAAAUUAGCUCGAUUAGAUCGAUAGAGCAAUACUAAAUGAUGUAUUAAUCAUUAGUUAUCACUUAGCAACCCAUGAAGGAUGCCCAAUUAGAAAGUGGCAUCAAAAUGGUAAAAGCAGAAGCCUACUGCUACUACUGCUAAUGCUUUGCAAGUGGUAAUGGUUAUUUAAAAUUUCCGAUAUAUGUGUUAAUUUUUGACAUUGCUAUAGAUUGCUAAUGACAUUGCUAAUGAUCUUUGGAGAAAUGAGCCACAUGACUGCACCUUUAAGCACUUCACAUGUGCACCAAGUAGUACCGUCUCUCUGGCCUCUGAGUGCCACCUAGUGUCUUUCAGAGAAAAUUUCAGUUGGACCAGAACUUUAUCCUGAAAUAAAGGACAUUACAAACAGAUGUGCAUGUGCAAACAUAUGUGCAUACACUGUAAAUGAUUUUUGUUGUUUUCACAGUAGUAUUACUGUAUUUCCAAUAGUUUCUUACUGUAUAAGUGGUGUACAGUAUGUUACUGUACAUCAUGUUGUUUUCACAGUAUUAUUACCGUAAUUUCAACAGUUUCCUACUGUAAAAGUGGUGUACAGUAUGUUACUGUAGAUUUUCAAUGCAUUCAUACUAACUGACAGCGAAAACAACCACCAACCUCCAUUUUGAAAUGAAAGACUGUCUUGGAUUUGACUCAACAAUAUUUAGUUUAACAUCAGAUAUCAUGAAACUGUUCUUGAAACUUUCUGAUUAGACUCUUCCGGACUGGAUGCGUUAAGCUGGCGCUUAUGUUUUGUGUGAUGUUUUACACAGACUCUUCGGUUGUAGCUCUCAGUGCGGGGAGUGCAGCUGUAUGAGAGCGCAAUUUCUAGAGCCUGUACUCGGGGAUCGUCUGUCUGUCUGCUGACCUGGAAGCUGCUUCAUCAUUAAUAUCUGGCGGGAGCUGAGCGAUAUUGUGGGACCAAGACCAUCUUCAGAUUCCAACCUGUAAAACUGACAAUCACAACUGCUGUCACCACUGCCACUGCCCACUGCACUCGACCCUCACCUGUCUAACUUCACCAACAUUACUUCUCCAAUGCUGACAUCCCCACCCAGAACACCUACAGUGAGAAAUUGUUUUGUGAAGAUUCUUUUGUGUAUUGCAAUGUGUCUUGACAGGAUAACUGUAGCUUGGUUGAAUGUUCAGCUAAUUUUCUGGAUUUUUGAUUAGUUGUUACUUGUUAUUUAUUCUGAUGAUUUUUAUGGAGAAUGUCAUGUUUAGCAUGUGGGCAAGAUGGUUGAUGACCCAUAUGUUUUACUAGUUGGAUGGAAAAACAUCCGUUUCAGUAUUUUCUUGUCUUCAACCUGGCUUUUCUAGUCUCUAUGGCUAGUUAUAGGGAAAUAUUUUCACAACAGAUCUCUUUAUAUAUGUGUGUGUUAUUAUGACUGGUUUGUUCUACUUGUGCAAUAAACGAUCUGCUUUUUGUGCAGUUAAGUCUUCAAA